CCUCACAUACUGUCUGUACAGGAUUCCCCGGAGUGGCAGGUAAAUAUGUUUAUAGUAUUUCUAAUGUACCAAGGUCCUUCCCCCGGCUACCCACCAUAUCGCUCAAACCGAUGGUUGUUCUCCUCUCUGUCUGUCUGGGGCGAUGAAAACUCACACACACGCACACACACACACACACACACACACACACACACAACACACACACACACACACACACACGCAACAUACACACACACACACACACACACGCAACAUUGUGAUUGGUUAGUGUUGUAAUAUACUCAACAGGAAGUGACCAACAGGUACUGGGUUGUGAUUGGUUAGUGUUGUAAUAUACUCAACAGGAAGUGACCAACAGGUACUGGGUUGUGAUUGGUUAGUGUUGUAAUAUACUCAACAGGAAGUGAACAAUAGGUACUGGGUUGUGAUUGGUUAGUGUUGUAAUAUACUCAACAGGAAGUGACCAAUAGGUACUGGGUUGUGAUUGGUUAGUGUUGUAAUAUACUCAACAGGAAGUUGACUGUACCCGUCUGGCCGGACUAGAUUAAAGGGUGGAAAGAUCUCAUCUAUAGUAAAAGCAUUGCAUGAAUAUAUCAUCGUAUUUUGUAUUUUUCUUUCAUUGUAAAUAAUUGUACAUAUUAGCGGAAUAUUGUUUUAAGGCUAUUUAAAGAGUGGGGAGGAGGAAUUAACCGACAGAUCUGUGAACAUAGCAGCCUAUAGUCUAAUGUAGUCUGUCUAAUAGGUAAUAGCCCCCCACACCACUAGAGGUCUAAUAGGUCUAAUAGGACUAACUACCUCUUCUUUCUUUCGUAAGGUCUAAUUAAAACGAAGACGGUUUAAAUUAAUUGUUGCUCUAAUCUGCCUCCUUUCAACACCACGAGCUGUCCGUUUCUGAUCGAUCGUGUCGACGUAAAUUACUAGAAUCUGGCUUAUCGUGAGAUCAAUAACUCUGAUAAAUACAUUACGG
This 967-nucleotide long non-coding RNA is filed under the name Salmo salar (Atlantic salmon). Its description in RNAcentral is "lncRNA (ENSSSAG00000113250.1)". Lineage: Eukaryota; Metazoa; Chordata; Actinopteri; Salmoniformes; Salmonidae. The record is from RNAcentral.